GACGAACGCUGGCGGCGUGCUUAACACAUGCAAGUCGAACGGAAAGGCCUCUUUCGGGGGGUACUCGAGUGGCGAACGGGUGAGUAACACGUGAGUAACCUGCCCUUGACUUUGGGAUAACUUCAGGAAACUGGGGCUAAUACCGGAUAGGAGCUCCUGCUGCAUGGUGGGGGUUGGAAAGUUUCGGCGGUUGGGGAUGGACUCGCGGCUUAUCAGCUUGUUGGUGGGGUAGUGGCUUACCAAGGCUUUGACGGGUAGCCGGCCUGAGAGGGUGACCGGGCACAUUGGGACUGGGAUACGGCCCAGACUCCUACGGGAGGCAGCAGUGGGGAAUAUUGCACAAUGGGUGGGAGCCUGAUGCAGCAACGCCGUGUGCGGGAUGACGGCCUUCGGGUUGUAAACCGCUUUCGCUCACGACGAAGCUUUGUGUGACGGUAGUGGGUAAAGAAGCACCGGCUAACUACGUG
This 467-nucleotide ribosomal RNA is filed under the name uncultured bacterium. Its description in RNAcentral is "partial 16S ribosomal RNA". It matches the Rfam family "Bacterial small subunit ribosomal RNA", at positions 28 to 507 of the family's 1533-position model. The record is from RNAcentral.